RNAcentral lists this ribosomal RNA (32 nucleotides) under Caulerpa prolifera. RNAcentral describes it as "partial 18S ribosomal RNA". RNAcentral also lists the same sequence under 8 other names. The record is from RNAcentral. Lineage: Eukaryota; Viridiplantae; Chlorophyta; Ulvophyceae; Bryopsidales; Caulerpaceae.
UUCCGUAGGUGAACCUGCGGAAGGAUCAUUAU